GACAGAGGGUGCAAACGUUGUUCGGAAUUACUGGGCGUAAAGCGCGUGUAGGCUGCUCCGCAAGUCGGAUGUGAAAGCCCUGGGCUCAACCUAGGAAGUGCAUUCGAUACUGCAGAGCUUGAGUCCUGGAGAGGAAGGCGGAAUUCUCGGUGUAGAGGUGAAAUUCGUAGAUAUCGAGAGGAACACCGGUGGCGAAGGCGGCCUUCUGGACAGUGACUGACGCUGAGACGCGAAAGCGUGGGGAGCAAACAGG
Molecule: ribosomal RNA, 253 nt
Filed under: uncultured bacterium
Lineage: Bacteria
Description: partial 16S ribosomal RNA
Rfam family: Bacterial small subunit ribosomal RNA
Source: RNAcentral